Molecule: ribosomal RNA, 445 nt
Filed under: Pseudoleptotrichia goodfellowii
Lineage: Bacteria; Fusobacteriati; Fusobacteriota; Fusobacteriia; Fusobacteriales; Leptotrichiaceae
Description: bacterial SSU rRNA
Rfam family: Bacterial small subunit ribosomal RNA
Source: RNAcentral
CUCUUACGGGAGGCAGCAGUGGGGAAUAUUGGACAAUGGAGGAGACUCUGAUCCAGCAAUUCUGUGUGCACGAAGACGGUUUUCGGAUUGUAAAGUGCUUUCAGCAGGGAAGAAGAAAGUGACGGUACCUGCAGAAGAAGCGACGGCUAAAUACGUGCCAGCAGCCGCGGUAAUACGUAUGUCGCGAGCGUUAUCCGGAAUUAUUGGGCAUAAAGGGCAUCUAGGCGGAUAUACAAGUCAGGGGUGAAAACUUAGGGCUCAACUCAAAGCUUGCCUUUGAAACUGUAUAUCUAGAGUGCUGGAGAGGUGGACGGAACUACACGAGUAGAGGUGAAAUUCGUAGAUAUGUGUAGGAAUGCCGAUGAUGAAGAUAGUCCACUGGACAGCAACUGACGCUGAAGUGCGAAAGCUAGGGGAGCAAACAGGAUUAGAUACCCUGGUAGUC